Molecule: ribosomal RNA, 398 nt
Filed under: Cryomonadida sp.
Lineage: Eukaryota; Cercozoa; Thecofilosea; Cryomonadida
Description: partial small subunit ribosomal RNA
Rfam family: Eukaryotic small subunit ribosomal RNA
Source: RNAcentral
AUUCCAGCUCCAAUAGCGUAUAUUAAAGUUGUUGCAGUUAAAAAGCUCGUAGUUGGAUUUCUGGUCUAAUGCGCCUGGCCCGCUGCCGUUAGGUAUGUGAGUGCCGGUGCGCGUUUACCAUCCUUCCAGAGAACACUUCUACCAUUUAUUUGGACGGAUGUUGUCUUCUGGAUCUUUUACUUUGAAAAAAUUAGAGUGUUUAAAGCAGGCCUUUGCUGUGAAUACAUUAGCAUGGAAUAAUAAUCUAGGACUACGGUUCUAUUUUGUUGGUUUCUAGUACUGAAGUAAUGAUUGAUAGGGACAGUUGGGGGCAUUUGUAUUUAAUAGUCAGAGGUGAAAUUCUUGGAUUUGUUAAAGACGGACUACUGCGGAAGCAUCUGCCAUGGAUGUUUUCAUUA